This 1372-nucleotide ribosomal RNA is filed under the name uncultured bacterium. RNAcentral describes it as "bacterial SSU rRNA". It matches the Rfam family "Bacterial small subunit ribosomal RNA", at positions 28 to 1381 of the family's 1533-position model. The record is from RNAcentral.
GAUGAACGCUGGCGGCGUGCCUAAUACAUGCAAGUCGAGCGAACGGACGAGAAGCUUGCUUCUCUGAUGUUAGCGGCGGACGGGUGAGUAACACGUGGAUAACCUACCUAUAAGACUGGGAUAACUUCGGGAAACCGGAGCUAAUACCGGAUAAUAUUUUGAACCGCAUGGUUCAAAAGUGAAAGACGGUCUUGCUGUCACUUAUAGAUGGAUCCGCGCUGCAUUAGCUAGUUGGUAAGGUAACGGCUUACCAAGGCAACGAUGCAUAGCCGACCUGAGAGGGUGAUCGGCCACACUGGAACUGAGACACGGUCCAGACUCCUACGGGAGGCAGCAGUAGGGAAUCUUCCGCAAUGGGCGAAAGCCUGACGGAGCAACGCCGCGUGAGUGAUGAAGGUCUUCGGAUCGUAAAACUCUGUUAUUAGGGAAGAACAUAUGUGUAAGUAACUGUGCACAUCUUGACGGUACCUAAUCAGAAAGCCACGGCUAGCUACGUGCCACCACCCGCGGUAAUACGUAGGUGGCAAGCGUUAUCCGGAAUUAUUGGGGCGUAAAGCGCGCGUAGGCGGUUUUUUAGUCUGAUGUGAAAGCCCACGGCUCAACCGUGGAGGGUCAUUGGAAACUGGAAAACUUGAGUGCAGAAGAGGAAAGUGGAAUUCCAUGUGUAGCGGUGAAAUGCGCAGAGAUAUGGAGGAACACCAGUGGCGAAGGCGACUUUCUGGUCUGUAACUGACGCUGAUGUGCGAAAGCGUGGGGAUCAAACAGGAUUAGAUACCCUGGUAGUCCACGCCGUAAACGAUGAGUGCUAAGUGUUAGGGGGUUUCCGCCCCUUAGUGCUGCAGCUAACGCAUUAAGCACUCCGCCUGGGGAGUACGACCGCAAGGUUGAAACUCAAAGGAAUUGACGGGGACCCGCACAAGCGGUGGAGCAUGUGGUUUAAUUCGAAGCAACGCGAAGAACCUUACCAAAUCUUGACAUCCUUUGACAACUCUAGAGAUAGAGCCUUCCCCUUCGGGGGACAAAGUGACAGGUGGUGCAUGGUUGUCGUCAGCUCGUGUCGUGAGAUGUUGGGUUAAGUCCCGCAACGAGCGCAACCCUUAAGCUUAGUUGCCAUCAUUAAGUUGGGCACUCUAAGUUGACUGCCGGUGACAAACCGGAGGAAGGUGGGGAUGACGUCAAAUCAUCAUGCCCCUUAUGAUUUGGGCUACACACGUGCUACAAUGGACAAUACAAAGGGCAGCGAAACCGCGAGGUCAAGCAAAUCCCAUAAAGUUGUUCUCAGUUCGGAUUGUAGUCUGCAACUCGACUACAUGAAGCUGGAAUCGCUAGUAAUCGUAGAUCAGCAUGCUACGGUGAAUACGUUCCCGGGUCU